This 841-nucleotide long non-coding RNA is filed under the name Homo sapiens (human). Its description in RNAcentral is "non-protein coding lnc-UVSSA-1:8". Lineage: Eukaryota; Metazoa; Chordata; Mammalia; Primates; Hominidae. The record is from RNAcentral.
CCCAGCCCACAGGUGCUCAGGCCCCAGGCCAGGGCAGACUCAGUAAAGAGUCCGGUGGGCAGGUGGGAGGUGGGAAGGGGGUGUCACGGCCCAGUGUCUGGCCUUUCCAGGGAUGGGGACCAGGCCUUGACGGAGGCUGGAUGUGGUCAGGUGGGGCCUGGGCAGCAGGGCAUGACUCCAUGGGGGGCACAUGUGGCACCUGGCAGGAGGUGGAGCUGCAUCUGAGCAGAGCACACAGGAGCCUGUGUCCCUGCAUGUGGGUUGGUGCCCAUGAGGCCAGCACGUGCCUGGAGCAGCCAAGCGGGUUCCAGGACUCAAGAGGCAGCCAGGCUCAGCGAGCAAGACAAGGUUGCCUCCUGAGGACAGAGGAGGCCCAGCCAACCCAACAGAUACCCCCAGACAGAAGGUCCCAGACUCACCUAAGAACCCAGACAGAGGGUCCCAGACUCAGCUAAGACACCCCCAGACAGAGGGUCCCAGACUCACCUGAGAAAUACCCCCAGACAGAGGGUCCCAGACUCACCUAAGACACCCCCAGACAGAGGGUCCCAAACUCACCUCAGAGACACCCCCAGACAGAGGGUCCCAAACUCACCUCAGAGACACCCCCAGACAGAGGGUCUCAGCCAACCCAACAGACACCCCCAGACAGAAGGUCCCAGACUCACCUAAGACACCCCCAGACAGAGGGUCCCAGACUCACCUAAGACACCCCCAGACAGAGGGUCCCAAGCUCACCUCAGAGACACCCCCAGACAGAGGGUCCCAGACUCAGCUAAGACACCCCCAGACAGAGGGUCCCAGACUCACCUGAGAAAUACCCCCAGACAGAGGGUCCCAG